RNAcentral lists this ribosomal RNA (301 nucleotides) under uncultured bacterium. RNAcentral's name for it is "partial 16S ribosomal RNA". It matches the Rfam family "Bacterial small subunit ribosomal RNA", at positions 509 to 809 of the family's 1533-position model. The record is from RNAcentral.
CAGUCGCCGCGGGAAUACGAAGGGUGCAAGCGUUAAUCGGAAUUACUGGGCGUAAGGCGUGCGUAGGCGGUGAGUUAAGUCUGCUGUGAAAUCCCCGGGCUCAACCUGGGAAUGGCAGUGGAUACUGGCUCGCUAGAGUGUGUCAGAGGAUGGUGGAAUUCCCGGUGUAGCUGUGAAAUGCGUAGAGAUCGGGAGGAACAUCAGUGGCGAAGGCGGCCAUCUGGGACAACACUGACGCUGAGGCACGAAAGCGUGGGGAGCAAACAGGAUUAGAUACCCCCGUAGUCCCUGUCUCUUAUAA